AAAGUCGUAACAAGGUUUCCGUAGGUGAACCUGCGGAAGGAUCAUUACAAAAGCCAAAAAAGGAAAAAUGGGAAGAGGAAUAGGAGAGCGAUCUCUUAUUUCUUUUCCUUUUUUCUUUUUUUGAAAAAUAAAUUUUGACGCGUUUUACCUUGGUAGAACACGUUGAAAUCCCAAUUCGCGUUUUUUAAAUAUUGUCAGUCAUUUUUCUUUUGAAAAACAAACAAAAAAAGCCUUAAAACCGCUUCAUAUGUUUGAAAAUAAUAACAAAAAAUAACUUUUAACAAUGGAUCUCUUGGCUCUC
This 301-nucleotide unclassified non-coding RNA is filed under the name Glomeromycotina sp. RNAcentral describes it as "partial contains small subunit ribosomal RNA, internal transcribed spacer 1, and 5.8S ribosomal RNA". The stretch from base 1 to 47 matches the Rfam family "Eukaryotic small subunit ribosomal RNA", at positions 1785 to 1831 of the family's 1831-position model. Lineage: Eukaryota; Fungi; Glomeromycota. The record is from RNAcentral.